Molecule: ribosomal RNA, 465 nt
Filed under: Vreelandella stevensii
Lineage: Bacteria; Pseudomonadati; Pseudomonadota; Gammaproteobacteria; Oceanospirillales; Halomonadaceae
Description: partial 16S ribosomal RNA
Rfam family: Bacterial small subunit ribosomal RNA
Source: RNAcentral
CCUACGGGGGGCUGCAGUGGGGAAUAUUGGACAAUGGGCGAAAGCCUGAUCCAGCCAUGCCGCGUGUGUGAAGAAGGCCUUCGGGUUGUAAAGCACUUUCAGUGGGGAAGAAAGCCUUGGGGCUAAUACCCUCGAGGAAGGACAUCACCCACAGAAGAAGCACCGGCUAACUCCGUGCCAGCAGGCGCGGUAAUACGGAGGGUGCGAGCGUUAAUCGGAAUUACUGGGCGUAAAGCGCGCGUAGGCGGUCUGAUAAGCCGGUUGUGAAAGCCCCGGGCUCAACCUGGGAACGGCAUCCGGAACUGUCAGGCUAGAGUGCAGGAGAGGAAGGUAGAAUUCCCGGUGUAGCGGUGAAAUGCGUAGAGAUCGGGAGGAAUACCAGUGGCGAAGGCGGCCUUCUGGACUGACACUGACGCUGAGGUGCGAAAGCGUGGGUAGCAAACAGGAUUAGAUACCCCAGUAGUC